AUUAGAUACCCUGGUAGUCCGCACGGUAAACGAUGGAUGCCCGCCGUCGGCAUAUGAUGUCGGCGGCCAAGCGAAAGCGUUAAGCAUCCCACCUGGGGAGUACGCCGGCAACGGUGAAACUCAAAGGAAUUGACGGGGGCCCGCACAAGCGGAGGAACAUGUGGUUUAAUUCGAUGAUACGCGAGGAACCUUACCCGGGUUUGAACGUAGUCUGACCGGAGUGGAAACACUCCUUCUAGCAAUAGCAGAUUACGAGGUGCUGCAUGGUUGUCGUCAGCUCGUGCCGUGAGGUGUCGGCUUAAGCGCCAUAACGAGCGCAACCCUUAUCACUAGUUACUAACAGGUGAAGCUGAGGACUCUGGUGAGACUGCCAGCGUAAGCUGUGAGGAAGGUGGGGAUGACGUCAAAUCAGCACGGCCCUUACAUCCGGGGCGACACACGUGUUACAAUGGCAUGGACAAAGGGCAGCUACCUGGCGACAGGAUGCUAAUCUCCAAACCAUGUCUCAGUUCGGAUCGGAGUCUGCAACUCGACUCCGUGAAGCUGGAUUCGCUAGUAAUCGCGCAUCAGCCAUGGCGCGGUGAAUACGUUCCCGGGCCUUGUACACACCGCCCGUCAAGCCAUGGGAGCCGGGGGUACCUGAAGUCCGUAACCGCAAGGAUCGGCCUAGGGUAAAACUGGUGACUGGGGCUAAGUCGUAACAAGGUACC
This 710-nucleotide ribosomal RNA is filed under the name uncultured bacterium. RNAcentral's name for it is "bacterial SSU rRNA". It matches the Rfam family "Bacterial small subunit ribosomal RNA", at positions 777 to 1500 of the family's 1533-position model. The record is from RNAcentral.